CUCUGAAUGUCAACGUGAAGAGAUUCAAGCAAGCGCGGGUAAACGGCAGGAGUAACUAUGACUCUUUUAAGGUAGCCAAAUGCCUCGUCAUCCAAUUAGUGACGCGCAUGAAUGGAUCAACGAGAUUCCCUCUGUCCCUAUCUACUA
RNAcentral lists this non-coding RNA (147 nucleotides) under Vigna radiata var. radiata (mung bean). RNAcentral describes it as "Eukaryotic large subunit ribosomal RNA". It matches the Rfam family "Eukaryotic large subunit ribosomal RNA", at positions 2208 to 2354 of the family's 3401-position model. The record is from Rfam by way of RNAcentral. Lineage: Eukaryota; Viridiplantae; Streptophyta; Magnoliopsida; Fabales; Fabaceae.